Molecule: long non-coding RNA, 286 nt
Organism: Cydia strobilella
Lineage: Eukaryota; Metazoa; Arthropoda; Insecta; Lepidoptera; Tortricidae
Exons: 2
Source: RefSeq, a predicted model, not a curated record
UAAUAGUAUUUAAUUAAUCUCUACUGUAGCAGUGCUCGAGGUAGACAUGACGACAAUAUUGGCGCUUAGUAUUGUGUUUCUGUUAGGGCUAGCGGUAGCGAGCCCACGUGGGCCGUGCGGCUGCAAACCGGUCUUCGAAUAUUGCGCCAACGACUACACCACGUACCACAACAUCUGCGAGUACAAGUGCAAACAUCCCUCCACCCCGUUCCAUGACUGGAAUAUUCUGUACAACUGGCCUUGCUUUUCCACGUCGGAGACUACAACUCGUGCGAGUACUACGACU